UGAGCCCCCCAUUCCUCACCCGCCUAUUUCCCUCCGGUGGGGGCUGACCCUGGUGUUCACCUCCCCAGGCGCUGUGCACGGUCACGUGGGGCAGCCUAGGAAAGGCCGGGGACUCAGAGCAGCAGCUCCAUCAACCUCUUUUUAAAGCUCCCCCUUUGCUGAAUGAUUGCAAUAAUUGCACCGCCAUCUCUGCUGUGUGAAGUUGCCCUCCCAGGGCAGCAGGGCAGCAGCUAAUCAGCUGUCCUCUGCCCCUCGGAGACGUCUGAGCAACCUGCCGCUGCAGCUUUCAGCUGCCUGCACGCGGGGCUCGACUCACGUCUGCAUCUGUAUUCCCAGCCAGGCGCACGCAGCUCGGUGGAGGGAUGACAGCCCCUCCAUAGAGUGUUUCUUCCUAGAAGCAGGAGUACAGUGUCCAGCAUUACUCUGGGGCCUCAGUAAGCAUUCACCAAGAGGUAAUGUGAAUGAACUCUACACAGAGAGCCAUGGGAGUAGGUGGGGAUGAAUCAGAGGCACAGUGAAUUGUGAAUUGGCCCUUUCCUAAUGUGACUCAGCUCACCUGCUGCCCAGAUUCACUGCAGCCCUGUUGGUUUCUAAGGAGACCACCGAGCUCUAGGCAGUAGCAGACUGUGUGGACACUGUGUUUCUGUGGCUGUGGAUCCCAUUAUCCAGUGAUCCGCACAUAUGAACCUGUUGGCUGGGGGCUUCCCAGGAAAGCCUUCAUGUCUUUGAACAUCAUUAGAGCAAGAAUGCAGAAAAAGAAAUAUUCCUAAGGUUAUUUGCGGACUCAAAUACCUGCUUGCAGUGAAAUCCUUUGUCUGCUCAUAAAAGGCACUUGAUUUAUGUUCUGGCCACAGAACUGUGCUGAAUGCCAGACGCAUUUAGAAUAACUGGGUUGAGGGCACAGGGAAAGGAUGCAUCAAUGAAUAAAUAGAAAAAAAAUGAAGAAUAUUCCAGAAGGAAAUGCAGGUCUAUGGC
Molecule: long non-coding RNA, 975 nt
Filed under: Capra hircus (goat)
Lineage: Eukaryota; Metazoa; Chordata; Mammalia; Artiodactyla; Bovidae
Description: lncRNA (ENSCHIG00010012646.1)
Source: RNAcentral